Molecule: ribosomal RNA, 518 nt
Filed under: uncultured bacterium
Lineage: Bacteria
Description: bacterial SSU rRNA
Rfam family: Bacterial small subunit ribosomal RNA
Source: RNAcentral
AGAGUUUGAUUAUGGCUCAGGAUGAACGCUAGCGACAGGCUUAACACAUGCAAGUCGAGGGGCAGCAUAAAAGUAGCAAUACUUGGUGGCGACCGGCGCACGGGUGAGUAACGCGUAUGCAACCUACCUAUCAGAGGGGAAUAACCCGGCGAAAGUCGGACUAAUACCGCAUAAAACAGGGACACCGCAUGGUGAUAUUUGUUAAAGAAAUUCGCUGAUAGAUGGGCAUGCGUUCCAUUAGGUAGUUGGUGAGGUAACGGCUCACCAAGCCGACGAUGGAUAGGGGAACUGAGAGGUUGGUCCCCCACACUGGUACUGAGACACGGACCAGACUCCUACGGGAGGCAGCAGUGAGGAAUAUUGGUCAAUGGGCGAGAGCCUGAACCAGCCAAGUCGCGUGAAAGGAAGAAGGAUCUAUGGUUCGUAAACUUCUUUUGCAGGGGAAUAAAGUGCAGGACGUGUCCUGUUUUGUAUGUACCCUGAGAAUAAGGAUCGGCUAACUCCGUGCCAGCAGCCGC